CUCUUUGCCGAUUGAAAAGGGAAUCCGGUGAAAGACCGGAACUGUACCUUCAGCUGUAAGUUCUUAUAAAUAAGGUGGUAACACUCUUGAGUCACUCCUUAACGAGUUAUCAGAAGGGGGAAGACGUUACAACCGGAACAAGUCAGAAGACCUGCCAAUGUAUU
RNAcentral lists this non-coding RNA (164 nucleotides) under bovine gut metagenome. The record is from RNAcentral.